GUUACAGCCGAACCCUCGUCGGGUCGAAGC
This 30-nucleotide non-coding RNA is filed under the name Natrinema hispanicum. The record is from RNAcentral. Lineage: Archaea; Methanobacteriati; Methanobacteriota; Halobacteria; Halobacteriales; Natrialbaceae.